UUUGGUGAUGAUGGCGGAGGGGCCACACCUGUUCCCAUACCGAACACAGAAGUAAAGUCCUCCAGCGUCGAUGGUACUUGG
This 81-nucleotide ribosomal RNA is filed under the name Fusibacter bizertensis. Lineage: Bacteria; Bacillati; Bacillota; Clostridia; Eubacteriales; Fusibacteraceae. The record is from RNAcentral.